Molecule: ribosomal RNA, 497 nt
Filed under: uncultured bacterium
Lineage: Bacteria
Description: partial 16S ribosomal RNA
Rfam family: Bacterial small subunit ribosomal RNA
Source: RNAcentral
GAUGAACGCUGGCGGCGUGCCUAAUACAUGCAAGUCGAGCGAACAGACGAGGAGCUUGCUCCUCUGACGUUAGCGGCGGACGGGUGAGUAACACGUGGAUAACCUACCUAUAAGACUGGGAUAACUUCGGGAAACCGGAGCUAAUACCGGAUAAUAUAUUGAACCGCAUGGUUCAAUAGUGAAAGACGGUUUUGCUGUCACUUAUAGAUGGAUCCGCGCCGCAUUAGCUAGUUGGUAAGGUAACGGCUUACCAAGGCAACGAUGCGUAGCCGACCUGAGAGGGUGAUCGGCCAAACUGGAACUGAGACACGGUACAGACUCCUACGGGAGGAAGCAGUAGGGAAUCUUCCGCAAUGGGCGAAAGCCUGACGGAGCAACGCCGCGUGAGUGAUGAAGGUCUUCGGAUCGUAAAACUCUGUUAGUAGGGAAGAACAAAUGUGUAAGUAACUAUGCACGUCUUGACGGUACCUAAUCAGAAAGCCACGGCUAACUACGUG